GCGAAUUUAAUCUGACCAAGAUUUUGGCCGAUUCGAAUUGCAUGCACAUUCUCAUGAUCAUGGUCAUAUGAGUUCUGAGUACUGCUGUUUUAUAGUUGUGCUGUUGUGCUGAUUGCUAGCUUAGUUUUGGUUACUGAGAGUUGAAGAGAGAGUUGCAGAAAAUUUGAUAGAUCUACUCUUACUGUUGGACAGUUACUGAGAGAGAAGCAAGGAGGCAGAGGUAAAUUCAGCUCUUACUGUUGGACAGUUAGUGAGAGGGAAGCAGGGAGGAAGAGGUGAAUAGAGCUCUUAUUGUUGAACAUUUACUGAGAGAGAAGCAAGGAGGCAGAGGUGAAUAGAGCUCUUACUCUUGGACAGUUAUUUAGAGAGAAGCAAGGAGGCAGAGGUAAAUAGAGUUGUUACUGUUGGACAGUUAUUGAGAGACGAGCAAGGAGGAAGAGGUGAAUAGAGCUCUUACUGUUGGACAGUUACUGACACAGAAGCAAGGAGGCAGAGGUGAAUAGAACUCUUACUGUUGGACAGUUAAUGAGAGAGAAGCAAGGAGGCAGAGGUAAAUAGAACUCUUAUUGUUGGACAGUUACUGACACGGAAGCAAGGAGGCAGAGGUGAAUAGAACUCUUACUGUUGGACAGUUAAUGAGAGAGAAGCAAGGAGGCAGAGGUAAAUAGAGUUGUUACUGUUGGACAGUUAUUGAGAGACAAGCAAGGAGGAAUAGGUGAAUAGAGCUGUUACUGUUGGACAGUUACUGAGACAGAAGCAAGGAGGCAGAGGUGAAUAGAGCUCUUACUGUUGGACAGUUACUGACACAGAAGCAAGGAGGCAGAGGUGAACAGAACUCUUACUGUUGGACAGUUAAUGAGAGAGAAGCAAGGAGGCAGAGGUAAAUAGAACUCUUAUUGUUGGACAGUUACUGACACAGAAGCAAGGAGGCAGAGGUGAAUAGAACUCUUACUGUUGGACAGUUAAUGAGAGAGAAGCAAGGAGGCAGAGGUAAAUAGAGUUGUUACUGUUGGACAGUUAUUGAGAGACAAGCAAGGAGGAAGAGGUGAAUAGAGCUGUUACUGUUGGACAGUUACUGAGACAGAAGCAAGGAGGCAGAGGUGAAUAGAGCUCUUACUGUUGGACAGUUGAUGAGAGAGAAGCAAGGAGGCAGAGGUAAAUAGAGUUGUUACUGUUGGACAGUUAUUGAGAGACAAGCAAGGAGGAAGAGGUGAAUAGAGCUGUUACUGUUGGACAGUUACUGAGACAGAAGCAAG
Strongylocentrotus purpuratus (purple sea urchin) is the source of this 1256-nucleotide long non-coding RNA. RefSeq lists it as uncharacterized. The transcript has 3 exons. The record is from RefSeq and is a predicted model, not a curated record. Lineage: Eukaryota; Metazoa; Echinodermata; Echinoidea; Camarodonta; Strongylocentrotidae.